UGCAAGUCGAGCGGGGAAAGGUAGCUUGCUACCUGACCUAGCGGCGGACGGGUGAGUAAUGCUUAGGAAUCUGCCUAUUAGUGGGGGACAACAUCUCGAAAGGGAUGCUAAUACCGCAUACGUCCUACGGGAGAAAGCAGGGGACCUUCGGGCCUUGCGCUAAUAGAUGAGCCUAAGUCGGAUUAGCUAGUUGGUGGGGUAAAGGCCUACCAAGGCGACGAUCUGUAGCGGGUCUGAGAGGAUGAUCCGCCACACUGGGACUGAGACACGGCCCAGACUCCUACGGGAGGCAGCAGUGGGGAAUAUUGGACAAUGGGGGGAACCCUGAUCCAGCCAUGCCGCGUGUGUGAAGAAGGCCUUUUGGUUGUAAAGCACUUUAAGCGAGGAGGAGGCUACCGAGAUUAAUACUCUUGGAUAGUGGACGUUACUCGCAGAAUAAGCACCGGCUAACUCUGUGCCAGCAGCCGCGGUAAUACAGAGGGUGCAAGCGUUAAUCGGAUUUACUGGGCGUAAAGCGCGCGUAGGUGGCCAAUUAAGUCAAAUGUGAAAUCCCCGAGCUUAACUUGGGAAUUGCAUUCGAUACUGGUUGGCUAGAGUAUGGGAGAGGAUGGUAGAAUUCCAGGUGUAGCGGUGAAAUGCGUAGAGAUCUGGAGGAAUACCGAUGGCGAAGGCAGCCAUCUGGCCUAAUACUGACACUGAGGUGCGAAAGCAUGGGGAGCAAACAGGAUUAGAUACCCUGGUAGUCCAUGCCGUAAACGAUGUCUACUAGCCGUUGGGGCCUUUGAGGCUUUAGUGGCGCAGCUAACGCGAUAAGUAGACCGCCUGGGGAGUACGGUCGCAAGACUAAAACUCAAAUGAAUUGACGGGGGCCCGCACAAGCGGUGGAGCAUGUGGUUUAAUUCGAUGCAACGCGAAGAACCUUACCUGGUCUUGACAUAGUAAGAACUUUCCAGAGAUGGAUUGGUGCCUUC
Molecule: ribosomal RNA, 971 nt
Filed under: Acinetobacter lwoffii
Lineage: Bacteria; Pseudomonadati; Pseudomonadota; Gammaproteobacteria; Moraxellales; Moraxellaceae
Description: bacterial SSU rRNA
Rfam family: Bacterial small subunit ribosomal RNA
Source: RNAcentral